GUACACUCCUGCGGGAGGCAGCAGUGGGGAAUAUUGCACAAUGGGCGCAAGCCUGAUGCAGCCAUGCCGCGUGUAUGAAGAAGGCCUUCGGGUUGUAAAGUACUUUCAGCGGGGAGGAAGGCAAUACGGUUAAUAACCGUGUUGAUUGACGUUACCGGCAGAAGAAGCACCGGCUAACUCCGUGCCAGCAGCCGCGGUAAUACGGAGGGUGCAAGCGUUAAUCGGAAUUACUAGGCGUAAAGCGCACGCAGGCGGUCUGUCAAGUCGGAUGUGAAAUCCCCGGGCUCAACCUGGGAACUGCAUUCGAAACUGGCAGGCUUGAGUCUUGUAGAGGGGGGUAGAAUUCCAGGUGUAGCGGUGAAAUGCGUAGAGAUCUGGAGGAAUACCGGUGGCGAAGGCGGCCCCCUGGACAAAGACUGACGCUCAGGUGCGAAAGCGUGGGGAGCAAACAGGAUUAGAAACCCGUGUAGUCCCAU
RNAcentral lists this ribosomal RNA (476 nucleotides) under uncultured organism. RNAcentral's name for it is "partial 16S ribosomal RNA". It matches the Rfam family "Bacterial small subunit ribosomal RNA", at positions 331 to 798 of the family's 1533-position model. The record is from RNAcentral.